This 117-nucleotide non-coding RNA is filed under the name Nomascus leucogenys (northern white-cheeked gibbon). The record is from Rfam by way of RNAcentral. Lineage: Eukaryota; Metazoa; Chordata; Mammalia; Primates; Hylobatidae.
GCUGGGUGUGGUGGCGCACGCCUGUAAUCCCAGCACUUUGGGAGGCCGAGGAAGGUGGAUCACCUGAGGUCAGGAGUUCACGACCGGCCUGACCAACAUGGUGAAAUCCCGUCUCUA